GAGAGGCCGACAUUUCACCGAUUUUUAACAUUUCACCGAUUUUUCUCAUACGUUUCACGAUAAAACGCUAAAACAGCGGCGGAGGCCUUUAACAUAAACUUUGCUCCUCGCUGAGGCAAAAUGGCAGCUGUCUAUUAUUACACACUGAUGAUAAACUGCGUGACGUUUUCCUUUCUUUUCCUGUGUGUGUGUAUAUAUGCGUGUGUGAGAAGUCUUGCCCUGCCCUGCCCAGCACAGUAGUCUAGAAUACUGAAGGCUUCUUCUUUCAACAGCCUCAAAAGCCAACCAAUCACGUCGCUCUACCCUCGGGCUGCCAGAGGCCAGCCAAUCGGAGGAGCCCGUGGCGGUCACCUGACUCAGCAUGGCCCUGUCUGUCAAGCCAGUCGUAUAAAGCUCAGCAGGCUCAGACAAGGCUGUGAAUGUGUGUGCGCGCAUGUGUGUGUGCAUGUGUGUGUGUGUGCGCACGACUGUGCAUGUGCGUGAGACCGGCCGGGACUCUGUGUACCUUCAGUUUGCUUUGUGACAGAGAGAGAGAGAGAGAGAGCGUGCGCGAGAGAGCGAGCGAGCGAAAGAAAGAAAGAAAGAGCGCGAGAAAGAGAGAGAGAGAGAGAGAAAAAGCGAGUGCUUGUGCAAGCAGCUAUUCAAGCAAGAAAGAGUGAGAGACCAAGCAAAAAGAAGAAAGACAAAAAAAAAAAAAAAACAAGAGGAAAAGACUUUCAGCUUAGAGAAGUGAAGUCUGUUUUCCCCCAUGGACUCAACACUUUGGAAGCUACUUCCUCUCUGCAGUUUUAUCUUAUUUUGUGCUUUCUCUGUCAGUCCGAGUGCCGAUAACCUUCGGCAGAGCGGGAUGGUUGGAGAUGAAGGUUGCCUGACCUGGAAUGACAAAAUCUGGUAUUGUGGAGUCUCCCACCUCCACUUCUUGUGUAUUAUAAUUAUUUUUUUUUUUACACUUCUAAUCCACAGCCCCACCUCUCUCCUCCAUCCAUAUUCAUCACCUUUAUCCCUAAUGAAGACCGGAGUGCAGCACGGAGGGGGGAGACAGAGACGCAGGCCUUUGAACUCCCACAAAGACAGAGAGAGAGAGAUAGAGAGACAGAGAGAGAGAGAGAAAGAGAGAGAGAGAGAGAGAGAGAGAAAACACAGCUAGUGAUGAUAGAUGGAAGAGGACAAGGGAAAGAAAGGCAUGAGACAACCAGAAAGAGACGAUCACGCGUCUCGUCUCUUGUGCGGAGAGAAAAGGAGAUGGCGUUGAUGGAUAGAAACGAGGAUGGAAGAAGAAAGGCAUCAGACAUACCAUCUUGACACAGCAGGGGUUCAGCUAACAUCAGAAUCGAGCCUACAAAUUACGCCUACGAUUAUUCAUCCCAGGGUCAAAGACCUUGUCAAAGCACCAAACAGCGUGUCGGAGGUUCGAACACACUGCCAGUGAUAACGGAUCGGACGAGUCUGGACGUUUCCCCGCUCACACGCGUGAUGUGGCAGGUUGGACUACGGUCUUUAAGGUCUGGUUCCCGAGAUGCACCGAUUCGUUCAAGAGUUCACGGUUUAAAAAAAAAUAAAAAAUUGAUCACAUGUAAUAAGAAGCAGCCAUCGUUACUGUUACUUCUCCGAAUGAAGCAGAACCAAAAAGUUUAGAGAACAGGGGGAAAAAACACUGCCUACUAAAAAAAAAAAAAAAACAAUUAAAAAAAAAUACAGGAAUUAAAGACUCAAAAUAUCAGAAUAGAAACAAGGCGAGUAAAUGCGAAAGAAAUUCCCAUUAGCCUCAGAAGCAGAAGUGCAGAGUGUUUUGAGGGCAUAAUCUCUGCAAACAGGAGGAAGUUUUAGUUCCAGAAAAUUCAGAAAUGACGGAGCAAAAAAAAAAAAAAAAAAAGAUUUCGUGGUUGCGUGAAGCUGAUAUUUUGGUCCCGUGUCCGAUCUCGUGUCCAGACUCGGGACUAUUAGAGGUGAAGUGCACGUCGUGUUUUGUAAACAGGUGGGGCAAAGCGUGCUUCGUACAGGAAUGCUGGCGUCAUUGUUGAACGUGUGAUAAAUAAAGCCUUUUGUUUGUUUUUUUCUAACCUGUUCCUCAGAGCACCGCGCGGGGGGGGUUCACUGCAGACUCGACGUGAAGACGCACGUCUCCGGACCGGCGCUGUUGAUGCGAGCAGGUGUGUGAAGACGUGCUAACAGACGGGCACUCUGUGGUUCAGAGAGGAAGGGGUGAUGGAGGUGGUGUUGGUGUCGCGGCUGAUGCGUUCCAUGACAACAUGCACACCCACAUGUGGUAACAGACAUGCUCGCGCACUCACACACACACACACACACACACACACACACACACACAAACCACCAACCGUUAAACUGCUCGAGGCAGCAGAAGCCAGGUGCAGUAGCGCGCCGAUGCUAGUUCCUGUAGGACUGACUGAUGGAAAUCAGCAGGCUUUCGUGUUCUUCUUCUUGUCAUGUUUUUCCACCUCAUAUUUGUUCCAAAAUGAAUUAAAAUAUGAAAGAAUGUGAGGAUUCAGAACGGUCAAGAUUUAUCCGGGGCUUGAUUCUACCAAAAAACCUAAAGAGCAGUCGGUAGUGACAGAGGGGACAAAAUAUUUCCCCUUUAGAAGUGCCAAACGUUCCACCCAACACACCUACGUUUGCUAGCUUACCUACUGUAUAUCCUCUGGUCAUUAACUCCUAUCUGUACUUAUCUGUGUUCUUGCCUUUCACCUUCUUACCAGGAAGUCCGUUCUUCACAUUCCUGGUAUUGUGAAAGACCUUUCGAAUCAUUUCUCACGACGUCGAUCCGCCAUCUGUUCUCAGUCAAGCCUUCGGACGUGCCGUACGAGGGCUCCGCGGUCCGUUCGUGCGACCGAGGGGGGCAAGGCAUCCUCGACUGCACCGUGCCCUCGAUUUCCAGACAAAGCCACAGAAAAGAGGAGGAGCCGUGGGCGAGAGCGAACGGCACGGGAACAAAAGACUAAAAAGCAGGUUGUGUGUGUUCCCCGGUGCUGGUUGCGUUUUAGACGGAGCUGGCAAAUCAGAGCUCACAUUAAUAAUGCAUGCCUGACUCAAAGGCCUUUCGACACAGGAAGCACAGACUGGGGUUCAGAUCACGGGAAAUAGAACAGGAGAGCGGGGUGGGGACGUUUAAAAAAAAUAAUAAAAAAAAGACAAGAACCAAAAAUUCUGACUGGCAAGCAGGUUGCAUUGAGGCGUUUCUCAGGUGUUUAAAGAGCAGAACGGUCUCAAAGACCGCAACAACCGUUUCUGGUGUCCUCGGUUAACAUUCAACGCUGUCGGUGAGUUUUGUGUUUCUGGCAAACCAUCGACCGUUGACUGUACCCUGAGGGCAGCUGAGCACAACACGGGGAGGAAGAGAACCGCCACGGGACACGGCGAGGAGCUCGUGUGGACAUCCCAGACAGGUGCCCUUAUAAUGGCUGCGAUAAACAUUCAUUGCUGUCGGUGGGUUUCCAGCAAACACAACUCACUGAUCGAUGAAUGCAAACUGCGGUUCAAACUCCUCUGAAGCUCGAAGCAGAAGAAGAUGGUACACGUGUGCUGCUUCGGUAACGAAUAAGUACACGGAUGACGUGAGUAUUCAGAUAUUAUCUAAACUGCGAGCAGAUUCCAGAAAUUGCUAGCAUUGCAUAAUCUUUUCGUCACCUAACGAAGGACCGAUCAGAGCUUUUGGUCCACAAAACUCUCGAAUCGGUGGUUCACAAAUGUUUUGAAGCCAGGGACCCCUAUUACACAAACCUCACAGCAUGAAUUUAUUUACGUUUCGGGGAAACACAGCUUUUUAGUCGUGAUCUUUCCACCUAUUGAACACGAAAGGUUUGACUUUGCCCAAAUAAUCGCCGUAAACAAAUAAAAUCUUAUCUUUAGUAGGGAGAUAUUUUCGCCCGUAUUGGGCCCCGUUCACACUGCAGGUAAAAGUGGCCCAAAUCCGAUUUGUUUGGGGUCAAGUGACCAGGUCAGACCUCUUCAGCAGUAGUGUGAACACUCAAAUCUGGGCCAGAUCUGAUUUUUUUCAAAUCAGAUCUGGGCCACUUCCAUAUGUGGUCCUGAAUCAGACCCAAAUCAGAUUUUUUCCAAUGUGGCCGCAGUGUGAACAACCGAGGCGGAUUUGAUGCGACUUUUACGUCGAUCUGUUUAUGCGCCGGCGAAAACGUGACUGGUAACGUGUGUGUGUUAAGAGUGUUAUAUAAAGUGGUUACGUGAACCAGCUCAUAAUGUUUGCACCGAAUACGUCACAUUAUAGCGUUACAUGAUACGUUUGCUUGCACCAGAUGAUACAAUACUUCCUCCAUAACCUCGCCGACUUUUUAGCGCGACGACGUGCUGCGUGUGACGUCAUCGUUAUCGUUCGUUUGUGCAUGCGGGUCAGUUCGAAACAGCAAACGCUUCACACUGGUAUCUGAUAUAGGCCACGUUUUAAAAGGUAAUCUGAACAGCCAAACAAAAUCAGAUCUGAGCAAAAUAUCCGAAUUGAGCAUUAAGACUCGCGGUGUGAACGUGGCCUUGAAGACGGACGUUUCAGAAUCAGAACCACGCAGACGCCUACGGUGAAGACGUAAAGACGCAAACCAGACGCAAACAAUAUGUCCUUGCGAAUAUAUAGACAGAACACCACAUCAUAACAGCUGAAACCUUGCUCAAUUUUCCAUAGCCAGCUCACCCUAACACCAGCCAAGUCUCUAGGCAACCAAAACAUGCACGAACACACUGUACACUGGAGAGUCGACUUGCCCAGUGGACUACAGGUCCAGGGUUUGUUAUUGGUUCACAUCUUGGGCUUCCUCAGGGGUGGUGGUGAAGUGUAAAGUAUAGCGCCUACGUAGUAGUAGUAGUAGUGUGCAGUACGACGUACAAUGGCGUCAGUGAUAGUUCAACGGUUAAAGCGCGGGGUUACUGAUUUGUAAGGUCAUGGGUUCAAGUCCUUGAGCAUGUUCGCAGAGCUGAUGACCCUGUGUGUUGACCCCAGCUUUCUAAGUAGGGAUAUGCCAGGAAAAUAAUUUCACCGUGCUGUAACGUAUGUGAGGAAUAAAGGCUGCUUCUUCUUCUUUUCUUCUUCUUCUUCUUCAACAAACAGAGUGUCUGACCUGCCCGUCUUCUCUUCGGCAUUACUACCCACACGUGUGUGACUGUUUAUAUACCCAUCCGUGUGCCCGGGUGAUACCAUCACGGCACAGGAGCGACUGUUAAAAUUGCCCAUUUUCCCCUUGUGCUCUAUCCCUUCAAUCAUGCAGAAAUAGUCUGAGCUUUAAAUAACUCCCAAAAAAAGGGGGGAAAAAAAACGCUUACCUGCGCUGGAACGGAAUUAUUAAAUAUGACAAUUAUCGCUGACAGCCAAGCGCUGCUUCCCUUAUUCGCUCUCUUUUUGUCAGGUUCGAUUGAAGUUGACCUUCACCACGUGCCGAGGGAGUGAACGAGCGCGCGAGACAAUCAGCUAGCGAGUGCUUGAAACGCUCGUUUCUCUCUCUCUCUCUCUUUUUUUUUUUAAGCAGGAUGGGAGAUAGAAUCAUCUGGAAGCAAUCCUGCUGUAAUUGCUUAACAUGCUGGGAAAUUUCGAACACAUUGGCAUUUUCCACUUGAAGACAUGAAUGCAGCAUGCGCUCUCUCUCUCUCUCUCUCUCUCUCGUCUUUUAUUACAGUGGAAAGUGUCUGAGGGUGGCUGUAGAGUUCAUGACUCGUGCGGCUAACAAACUGAACUUUUUUACGUGUAGGGAGUAGACGAUGUGGUGACACCGGAGCCCGGACUCGCUGCAUUAUAAUAGGCUCAGAAACCGCCGGUGGUUAACGAGAGCCGUCUGUCUGCUCCGUUUGUCCCCAUCUUUCCUCCUGUUUUCUUUUUGUUUUGGGAGAGAAUAAUAAAUUUGUCUGUGGGGUGGGAUGGGGUGGGGAAUUGAUGGACGUGUCCCGUAAUCUGAGCUUUAGACUAAACGGGUUGUUGUUUAAAAGAAAGGAAGCACUGUCGAUGUAAUAACACGGUUAUUAAUGGAAGGAGUCUCCAGUGUCAGAGGAAACAGCUGGAUCUCAAAACGGGAAAUGCUUCAUUUUAUGCUUCGUGUGUGUGAGAGAGAGAGAGAGAGAGAGAGAGAGAAAACCAAAGGCUGGUGAGGGAAUGAAGGUUUAAAGCUGCUUUAUCAUCAAUGACAACAGAAACAAAUGUGAUAUAUGGGCGAUAAAUAAAAACAAAUGGAUUAAAAAAAA
Long non-coding RNA from Tachysurus fulvidraco (yellow catfish), 6192 nucleotides. RefSeq lists it as uncharacterized. The transcript is spliced from 2 exons. The record is from RefSeq and is a predicted model, not a curated record. Lineage: Eukaryota; Metazoa; Chordata; Actinopteri; Siluriformes; Bagridae.